RNAcentral lists this microRNA precursor (79 nucleotides) under Capitella teleta. RNAcentral's name for it is "microRNA cte-mir-2708 precursor". The record is from miRBase by way of RNAcentral. Lineage: Eukaryota; Metazoa; Annelida; Polychaeta; Capitellidae.
CGUGCCGCUCGCCAAUUUUAUUAAAUAUUCUAGGUGCUUUGAAACAAUAGAAGAUUUAAUAAGAUUGGGGAGUUGCUCG